Molecule: ribosomal RNA, 561 nt
Filed under: uncultured fungus
Lineage: Eukaryota; Fungi
Description: SSU rRNA
Rfam family: Eukaryotic small subunit ribosomal RNA
Source: RNAcentral
AUUGGAAGGGGUGUAUUUAUUAGAUUAAAAACCAAUGCCCUUCGGGGCUCACUGGUGAUUCAUGAUAACUCCUCGAAUCGCAUGGCCUUGUGCCGGCGAUGGUUCAUUCAAAUUUCUUCCCUAUCAACUUUCGAUGUUUGGGUAUUGGCCAAACAUGGUUGCAACGGGUAACGGAGGGUUAGGGCUCGACCCCGGAGAAGGAGCCUGAGAAACGGCUACUACAUCCAAGGAAGGCAGCAGGCGCGCAAAUUACCCAAUCCCGACACGGGGAGGUAGUGACAAUAAAUACUGAUACAGGGCUCUUUUGGGUCUUGUAAUUGGAAUGAGUACAAUUUAAAUCCCUUAACGAGGAACAAUUGGAGGGCAAGUCUGGUGCCAGCGGCCGCGGUAAUUCCAGCUCCAAUAGCGUAUAUUAAAGUUGUUGUGGUUAAAAAGCUCGUAGUUGAACCUUGGGCCUGGCUGGCCGGUCCGCCUCACCGCGUGUACUGGUCCGGCCGGGCCUUUCCCUCUGUGGAACCCCAUGCCCUUCACUGGGUGUGGCGGGGAACCUAGGACUUUUAC